CGGAUCCCAUGGGGCAGGAGCUCUCCAGAGGAGACUAAGGCAGGCCAAGGCAGACUGUGGGGAUUUGGCCUUUGGAAUGGUCAGAGUAGAUCCAUGUCAAGAACGGUGCUUCUUCCACAUGUUUUAAUCCAUUAAAACAAGGGAUGUCUUUCUCAGGACUCCUCAGUUUUGAAGCAGGUUUGAAGUUGCAGAGGGAAGACGACAGUGUGGUAGGGCAGGAUUGUGUCUUCUCUUGGUUAAUAGUGCUGAGCUUAUGCAACGGAGCAAGCCAGCACCUGCUUGAGAGCGGACGUGGGAGCCUCGGAAGGGACUGGCUCCAAAUCUGGCCACGGUGGGGAUGAUGACAAAACCAGUGCUCCAUCCAGUGCUCCAUGAAGUAGGCAGGUGCACAUGGUAGGUCAGUUACCUGCAAGGAGUCCUUGUAAUGGCAGCAGUGAGCUGAUGGCCUGAAAUAGUGUCCAUGUUCUCUGUUUGGGCUGAAUUUUAUCUGAUGACCUUGUCUGAUUGGCAGGUUUCUUCAGUCCUGUUCCCCAGGUAGUGCCCCUCUACUUAGCCAGGGCUAGUCCUGCUCCAAUACCUGCUGGAAGGAGCAGAAACGCAAAUAAUUUGCCUCCCGAUUUCCUGCAGUGAUCAUCUCAGGCAUUGACACUCCACACUGGAGGUGGCAGUUUCAGUCUUCGGAGUCCUGCUGAAGGAUAUGCUGUCACUAGCAUGUGUUCACUGCAGGCCUGCACCAUCAAGGGCUGCCUGAUGUGUUCCCCAUCAUAUGUGGCUCUGCAGCAGGUCUUACAUGACAAGGAGCAAAAAACUUGGACAUCUGAGAAACUCCAGAGGAGGUGGUCCAUCCAGUCGUAAGCGAUCAACAGAACAAAGCCCAGAUGUCUUUGGCAGUGGCAGGCCACAGGAAGCCACUGUGUGGCAGUUCUGCUGGAAACAGUCAGGAGUCUCAGAAGUCACAAAAAUAGGUCACAUUUCCAACUGGGAUACUGAACAUAGAACUCCAGGACACAGAGAAAUGGAGCAGACCACAGCUUAUCUAGCCCCAUGUGACUGAUGUACAGCACAUAAAGCAUGCCAAACGAACACCUGGUCAGUCAGCAAAUCCUACCUGGUCAGUUAGAAUGAGGAGGGUAUUAUGGGAGAGAGAGUGAGGCAGAGCUAUGGAAUAGCUUCUCCAGAGCAACACUGCCCAGCUGAGCCAAGUUCAUUGGGUGAAAACUCUUCUCCAACCUGCACUGCCUCUGAAAUACUCUACCUACAUCUUGGCACAUGGGUCAGUACAGGAUAUCCCCCACCCAGAUCGCUGCAUUUUGUGUCCCUCUGCAUACAUCUGUCAGCAUUUCCUCUUUAUGCGUGGGCCUGCCCUUCUCUGCUAGCCUUUCCCACCUUGGGGCUCACAGACCCAGCAAGCAGCUGGCUGAAGACAGCACUGCUUGUGCCCUUGGGAUCAGCUUGAGAGUACAAAUUCCAUGAAGAAUGAGUUAAGAAAAUUUACUUCAAGUUCAGUUUUUAAGGACUUUGGGUUUAAAAAAAAGAAAAAAAAAGGGAAAUAUGAAUGAUUUGGGGAAGCAACUUUCAUCCUUUAGUACAGGUUGGUGGGGGUUUUUUUGGAGUCUUUCCAAAGACACUUGGGCCUGGGAGGAAAGGGGGUGAGAAAUGUUUUAAAAUAGAAGAGGCAAAGAAGUCAGAGGAAAACAGUGCUGAGACAUUCACGUUCUAAGAAUUCAACCCUAGCAGUACUCUUGGCAUGGUAGUUAUGUACAUAAUUAGGGUGGUAUGAUGGUAGUGGGAAUAGAAGCUACUUACAAAGCUAAAAGUUGUACAUUAAAGCAGAUAAGAGUGCAAGUUGUGCUCAGACAACUAUCAGGCCUGUUAGAGUCUAGAAGCUAUGCUAGGUGCUAAAUAAAUCAAGGAGAGUCACUUGACAUUUGCUAGCUGGAAAAAGAGGGUUCCCCUUCAAAGAAGGGCUUCAUAUCCACAUCCUUAUAUGCUUGAGUGAUGGCACUGUACAUCUGAGCUCUCUCUGGAAUUACUAGCACUGAAUUGCUUAGAGAGAGGACAAGGUUAUUAGCUUUAGCAGGAAAAGGAAAUUUUAUACAUGAUAUAAAUGCAGAAUUGACUUGUCUGUAGCCCAAAACUUUGGAGAUUACGCAUGCAAAAUGAGAAGUUGAUCUAAUUUUGAAAUUGUCUUCAGUACCAUGGAAAGUAAUUUUACAGCAUGUUUGCCCCCUUCACUUUAUCACAUCAAAAUCUGCAGAGAUUGGCUCUAUUCAUUUAGGCUUAAAUGCAGGACCUGAGUCUUCUUAGAAAUGGUUAUUGGUCGGGGAGAAAUAAGCUUUUCUUGAAGUGAUGUAGGUGAGUAGCUUUCUUAAGUGCAUGUUUGAGGAUGCCUCCCAGAUCAGAAGGAUGGUUCAGAUGUGGCAGACCUUUUAGACACAGCCUUACUGAGGACUCCUCAGUUACCUACUAAAAGCUUCAAGAGCUGGAUGAAGACAGGACAGACAGAGGCAAGGGACAGCCAGUAAUCUGAGUGCUCAGUAGUGGAGUUGUUUCUGUAGCUGACCAGCCCAUUGAAAACAUCCCUGAGAUUAGCUCAGAGCUUUGUGCUAAUGGCACCACGGUUGUGAGUUUGAUCCCAAUAUGGGCCAGUCACUUAAGAGUUGGACUUUAUGAUCUUUGUGAGUCCCUUCCAACUCAAGAAUAUUCUGUGACAUUUUUGUGAAACCUCCAGAGAGGACCAUGCAGCCUUUUCCAGCAUUCCAGGUAGCUGUUUGUGUUUCAGAUAAGGGCUGAUCUCAUGAGUGAUGUGCUGAAGAGGAGAGCUGAGCAACCCCUGGUUUUUUUCUAGGGUGCACCAGACCUUGCUGUAGGGCUUGGCACCUGCUCAGCAGCAGGAGAUGGUGUCUAGGGAGCUGUAACAACCUUGCUGGUGCUUCCCAGUGGGAGGAAAAAAAAAAAGAAG
Molecule: long non-coding RNA, 2962 nt
Organism: Corapipo altera (White-ruffed manakin)
Lineage: Eukaryota; Metazoa; Chordata; Aves; Passeriformes; Pipridae
Exons: 2
Source: RefSeq, a predicted model, not a curated record